Long non-coding RNA from Mobula hypostoma (lesser devil ray), 268 nucleotides. RefSeq lists it as uncharacterized. Lineage: Eukaryota; Metazoa; Chordata; Chondrichthyes; Myliobatiformes; Myliobatidae. The transcript has 3 exons. The record is from RefSeq and is a predicted model, not a curated record.
GCUCGAGCUGAUCUAGCUAAGGGGUUAAAGAAGAAAUCCGCAUUUUUGUCCUUGUUUCUCCUCCGUUCGAAAAUGUAAAUUUACAGAUUGUUACAACACUGCCGUUGGUGCAUGGAGUGGAGGUGCUUGACAAGGAAGUCCACCAAUUUAUGAUGGGUCUCACCACUGUGGAGAAGGCUACAGCAGGAGCACCGGACAUUGUAAACCUCACCUGGAAGGGCUGUUUAGGGUCCUGAAUGGAGGUGAAUGGUUGGAUGUUCCAGUUAAC